AUGCACGCUGGCGGCGUGCCUAAUCCAUGCCAGUCGCGCGAACAGACGAGGAGCUUGCUCCUCUGACGUUAGCGGUGGACGGGUGAGUAACACGUGGAUAACCUACCUAUAAGACUGGGAUAACUUCGGGAAACCGGAGCUAAUACCGGAUAACAUGUUGAACCGCAUGGUUCCACAGUGAAAGACGGUCUUGCUGUCACUUAUAGAUGGAUCCGCGCCGCAUUAGCUAGUUGGUAAGGUAACGGCUUACCAAGGCAACGAUGCGUAGCCGACCUGAGAGGGUGAUCGGCCACACUGGAACUGAGACACGGUCCAGACUCCUACGGGAGGCAGCAGUAGGGAAUCUUCCGCAAUGGGCGAAAGCCUGACGGAGCAACGCCGCGUGAGUGAAGAAGGUCUUCGGAUCGUAAAACUCUGUUAUUAGGGAAGAACAAAUGUGUAAGUAACUAUGCACGUCUUGACGGUACCUAAUCAGAAAGCCACGGCUAACUACGUG
Molecule: ribosomal RNA, 496 nt
Filed under: uncultured bacterium
Lineage: Bacteria
Description: partial 16S ribosomal RNA
Rfam family: Bacterial small subunit ribosomal RNA
Source: RNAcentral